This 63-nucleotide small nucleolar RNA is filed under the name Tupaia belangeri (northern tree shrew). Lineage: Eukaryota; Metazoa; Chordata; Mammalia; Scandentia; Tupaiidae. The record is from RNAcentral.
UUUCUAGGAUGAAUAGAAGUAGCUCACCAUGACUGACAAUGAAAACGUGAACACCUGAGAAAC